This 329-nucleotide unclassified non-coding RNA is filed under the name soil metagenome. Its description in RNAcentral is "partial contains 5.8S ribosomal RNA, internal transcribed spacer 2, and large subunit ribosomal RNA". The stretch from base 1 to 120 matches the Rfam family "5.8S ribosomal RNA", at positions 35 to 154 of the family's 154-position model. The record is from RNAcentral.
GUUGAAGAACGUAGUGAAAUGCGAUAAGUAAUGUGAAUUGCAGAAUUCAGUGAAUCAUCGAAUCUUUGAACGCACAUUGCGCCCCCUGGUAUUCCGGGGGGCAUGCCUGUCCGAGCGUCAUUACAACCCUCAAGCUCAGCUUGGUGUUGGGCCCCGCCGCCCCGGCGGGCCCUAAAGUCAGUGGCGGUGCCGUCCGGCUCCGAGCGUAGUAAUUCUUCUCGCUCUGGAGGUCCGGUCGUGUGCUCGCCAGCAACCCCCAAUUUUUUUCAGGUUGACCUCGGAUCAGGUAGGGAUACCCGCUGAACUUAAGCAUAUCAAUAAGCGGAGGA